Molecule: ribosomal RNA, 497 nt
Filed under: uncultured bacterium
Lineage: Bacteria
Description: partial 16S ribosomal RNA
Rfam family: Bacterial small subunit ribosomal RNA
Source: RNAcentral
GAUGAACGCUGGCGGCGUGCCUAAUACAUGCCAGUCGAGCGAACAGACGAGGAGCUUGCUCCUCUGACGUUAGCGGCGGACGGGUGAGUAACACGUGGAUAACCUACCUAUAAGACUGGGAUAACUUCGGGAAACCGGAGCUAAUACCGGAUAAUAUAUUGAACCGCAUGGUUCAAUAGUGAAAGACGGUUUUGCUGUCACUUAUAGAUGGAUCCGCGCCGCAUUAGCUAGUUGGUAAGGUAACGGCUUACCAAGGCAACGAUGCGUAGCCGACCUGUGAGGGUGAUCGGCCACACUGGAACUGAGACACGGUCCAGACUCCUACGGGAGGCAGCAGUAGGGAAUCGUCCGCAAUGGGCGAAAGCUUGACGGAGCAACGCCGCGUGAGUGAUGAAGGUCUUCGGAUCGUAAAACUCUGUUAUUAGGGAAGAACAAAUGUGUAAGUAACUAUGCACGUCUUGACGGUACCUAAUCAGAAAGCCACGGCUAACUACGUG